AGAGUUUGAUCCUGGCUCAGGAUGAACGCUGGCGGCGUGCCUAACACAUGCAAGUCGAGCGCGAUUGUUUGGACCUGCGACUUCGGUCAAAGAGAAGAGCAUGAAAGCGGCGGACGGGUGAGUAACGCGUGAGCAACCUGCCCUGUACAGGGGGAUAGCCACUGGAAACGGUGAUUAAUACCCCAUAAGUCUGUAGGACCGCAUGGUCCAGCAGACAAAGCCUUGGCGGUACAGGAUGGGCUCGCGUCUGAUUAGCUAGUUGGUGAGGUAAUGGCUCACCAAGGCUUCGAUCAGUAGCCGACCUGAGAGGGUGAACGGCCACACUGGAACUGAGACA
RNAcentral lists this ribosomal RNA (337 nucleotides) under uncultured bacterium. RNAcentral describes it as "bacterial SSU rRNA". It matches the Rfam family "Bacterial small subunit ribosomal RNA", at positions 8 to 326 of the family's 1533-position model. The record is from RNAcentral.